UUAUAAAUCAAGUGGGAACCUAGCACAGCU
RNAcentral lists this non-coding RNA (30 nucleotides) under Rattus norvegicus (Norway rat). Lineage: Eukaryota; Metazoa; Chordata; Mammalia; Rodentia; Muridae. The record is from RNAcentral.